CCUUUUGUAUAAUGGGUCAGCGACUUAUAUUCUGUAGCAAGGUUAACCGAAUAGGGGAGCCGAAGGGAAACCGAGUCUUAACUGGGCGUUAAGUUGCAGGGUAUAGACCCGAAACCCGGUGAUCUAGCCAUGGGCAGGUUGAAGGUUGGGUAACACUAACUGGAGGACCGAACCGACUAAUGUUGAAAAAUUAGCGGAUGACUUGUGGCUGGGGGUGAAAGGCCAAUCAAACCGGGAGAUAGCUGGUUCUCCCCGAAAGCUAUUUAGGUAGCGCCUCGUGAAUUCAUCUCCGGGGGUAGAGCACUGUUUCGGCAAGGGGGUCAUCCCGACUUACCAACCCGAUGCAAACUGCGAAUACCGGAGAAUGUUAUCACGGGAGACACACGGCGGGUGCUAACGUCCGUCGUGAAGAGGGAAACAACCCAGACCGCCAGCUAAGGUCCCAAAGUCAUGGUUAAGUGGGAAACGAUGUGGGAAGGCCCAGACAGCCAGGAUGUUGGCUUAGAAGCAGCCAUCAUUUAAAGAAAGCGUAAUAGCUCACUGGUCGAGUCGGCCUGCGCGGAAGAUGUAACGGGGCUAAACCAUGCACCGAAGCUGCGGCAGCGACACUAUGUGUUGUUGGGUAGGGGAGCGUUCUGUAAGCCUGUGAAGGUGUGCUGUGAGGCAUGCUGGAGGUAUCAGAAGUGCGAAUGCUGACAUAAGUAACGAUAAAGCGGGUGAAAAGCCCGCUCGCCGGAAGACCAAGGGUUCCUGUCCAACGUUAAUCGGGGCAGGGUGAGUCGACCCCUAAGGCGAGGCCGAAAGGCGUAGUCGAUGGGAAACAGGUUAAUAUUCCUGUACUUGGUGUUACUGCGAAGGGGGGACGGAGAAGGCUAUGUUGGCCGGGCGACGGUUGUCCCGGUUUAAGCGUGUAGGCUGGUUUUCCAGGCAAAUCCGGAAAAUCAAGGCUGAGGCGUGAUGACGAGGCACUACGGUGCUGAAGCAACAAAUGCCCUGCUUCCAGGAAAAGCCUCUAAGCAUCAGGUAACAUCAAAUCGUACCCCAAACCGACACAGGUGGUCAGGUAGAGAAUACCAAGGCGCUUGAGAGAACUCGGGUGAAGGAACUAGGCAAAAUGGUGCCGUAACUUCGGGAGAAGGCACGCUGAUAUGUAGGUGAGGUCCCUCGCGGAUGGAGCUGAAAUCAGUCGAAGAUACCAGCUGGCUGCAACUGUUUAUUAAAAACACAGCACUGUGCAAACACGAAAGUGGACGUAUACGGUGUGACGCCUGCCCGGUGCCGGAAGGUUAAUUGAUGGGGUUAGCGCAAGCGAAGCUCUUGAUCGAAGCCCCGGUAAACGGCGGCCGUAACUAUAACGGUCCUAAGGUAGCGAAAUUCCUUGUCGGGUAAGUUCCGACCUGCACGAAUGGCGUAAUGAUGGCCAGGCUGUCUCCACCCGAGACUCAGUGAAAUUGAACUCGCUGUGAAGAUGCAGUGUACCCGCGGCAAGACGGAAAGACCCCGUGAACCUUUACUAUAGCUUGACACUGAACAUUGAGCCUUGAUGUGUAGGAUAGGUGGGAGGCUU
This 1567-nucleotide ribosomal RNA is filed under the name Escherichia coli. Its description in RNAcentral is "partial 23S ribosomal RNA". It matches the Rfam family "Bacterial large subunit ribosomal RNA", at positions 604 to 2157 of the family's 2925-position model. Lineage: Bacteria; Pseudomonadati; Pseudomonadota; Gammaproteobacteria; Enterobacterales; Enterobacteriaceae. The record is from RNAcentral.